CCGAAGCGCUUAGAAGAGGCCUCCCCGGUGAAGAUAGCAGCCCGGACCACCUCCUCACCGGACCACCUCCUUACCGGACAGCCCUGCAGGACCGGACCAGCGCCGAGCGGAGACGCCGGAGAUGUUCCUGCCAGCAGUGAUGGUAAGGAUAUGCAGUUUAAAAAAAAAAGCAGAUGGGACUAGCAGAGGAUGGCUUCCAACCCAGAGGACUACCUACAGGAUGGCAGGGGACACCUUUCAAACUUACCCUCACCAUGGAUGCCAGUAGGAACAUAUCCCGGCCAUGAGAAAGAAGAUUUGCCCACAUCAGGAGAUAUUUCUGCAUGGUGGGGUAUUUAUGAAAAGUGGGUACUCUACUCUACUUUCACCGGGCGUGACCAAGCGGAGAACCCGCGAAACGGGACUGCCGUUCCACGAGCUCGGCUGAGCUCCUGCUUCCUUCCUUCCCGACUCGAGCUGCAUACUUCCAUGUAGUACUUGGAAUAAACCCACACAUUCUUUA
Hyla sarda is the source of this 502-nucleotide long non-coding RNA. RefSeq lists it as uncharacterized. The transcript has 4 exons. The record is from RefSeq and is a predicted model, not a curated record. NCBI's taxonomy places the organism in Eukaryota, Metazoa, Chordata, Amphibia, Anura, Hylidae.